This is a long non-coding RNA of Pangasianodon hypophthalmus (striped catfish), 416 nucleotides long. RefSeq lists it as uncharacterized. NCBI's taxonomy places the organism in Eukaryota, Metazoa, Chordata, Actinopteri, Siluriformes, Pangasiidae. The transcript has 3 exons. The record is from RefSeq and is a predicted model, not a curated record.
GUUGGCGCGCAGAGGAAGGCAAUGGAGAAUUUUCUCGAAGACUGAUGUGAUUUUUACACGAUUGCACUCACCAUUCAAGCUCAUGCAAGAUCAAGAAUGAGUUCAGAAGGAUAACCACAAUUCCCCUGGAGCCAACCUUUCUGCAAAAACUGGACCUCUACACUCCAAAGCUCCUGGAUUUGUUUAAAAUGAAGGGUAGGGAUGCAGGCAUAAAAAUUAGAAGUGUGCUAGAUUCACUCAGCCAGGUAAAUGUAUAUAUUACACAUCUGAUAUCCUGCUGCUUCCUGACUUUAUAGAUAUGCAGUUGUAAGAUGGAAGUGUACCCUGUUAAUGUUCGCUGCAAUUUACUUUUGUUUUUAACAGCAAGUUGAAGAUAAGCGAGAUGCUGUGAUUUGCUGCCUGCUUCCCUACCUGGG